ACCGGAGAUUUGAGCCAGCCAGCUAGCCAACCAGCUAGUUAGCAAGCCAGCCAGCUAGCCAGUAGGCACUCCAUGGAAAGCACUCUCCAAGUGAAAAAUCCGGCGGACAGAGAAAUUCACCAGAAGCAGACCACUUGCCCGCUUCGUGGACAGCGUGUGGGAUUACCCGGACUUGUCAGGGACUCCGUGUGCCAGUGUAUGUAGAACACAGCGCGUCGAGUGGCCGGACCUCGCACCCAAUCAAAGGCAGGCUCAUUUGAUGAUCUUGACAUAAUGAUAUAUUCUUUGGUAUCAAUCCCGAGGGCGAUGCCAAUGGCAUGCACCGCCACAGCAGCGAAAUGGGCCAGUGGAAAAUUUACAGCCGGCAGACUGGGGGUCUUCAGCUAUUCGAGUGAAUGAAACACAGAUAACUUUUUGGUAAA
This is a long non-coding RNA of Drosophila yakuba, 422 nucleotides long. RefSeq lists it as uncharacterized. The transcript is spliced from 2 exons. The record is from RefSeq and is a predicted model, not a curated record. NCBI's taxonomy places the organism in Eukaryota, Metazoa, Arthropoda, Insecta, Diptera, Drosophilidae.